AGUGAACGCUGGCGGCAGGCCUAACACAUGCAAGUCGAGCGGAAGAAGGGAGCUUGCUCCUGGAUUCAGCGGCGGACGGGUGGGUAAUGCCGAGGAAUAUGCCUGGCAGUGGGGGAUAACGUCCGGAAACGGGCGCUAAUACCGUAUACGUCCUGAGGGAGAAAGGGGGGGAGCAUCGGACCUCACGCCAUCAGAUGAGCCAAGGUCGGAUUAGCUAGUUGGUGGGGUAAAGGCCUACCAAGGCGACGAUCCGUAACUGGUCUGAGAGGAUGAUCAGUCACACUGGAACUGAGACACGGUCCAGACUCCUACGGGAGGCAGCAGUGGGGAAUAUUGGACAAUGGGCGCAAGCCUGAUCCAGCCAUGCCGCGUGUGUGAAGAAGGUCUUCGGAUUGUAAAGCACUUUUAGUUGGGAAGAAGGGCAGUAAGUUAAUACCUUGCUGUUUUGACGUUACCAAAAGAAUAAGCACCGGCUAACUUCGUG
Molecule: ribosomal RNA, 484 nt
Filed under: uncultured bacterium
Lineage: Bacteria
Description: partial 16S ribosomal RNA
Rfam family: Bacterial small subunit ribosomal RNA
Source: RNAcentral